Molecule: transfer RNA, 80 nt
Filed under: Cordylochernes scorpioides
Lineage: Eukaryota; Metazoa; Arthropoda; Arachnida; Pseudoscorpiones; Chernetidae
Description: tRNA-Thr
Rfam family: tRNA (bases 12-73)
About the family: Transfer RNA (tRNA) molecules are approximately 80 nucleotides in length.
Source: RNAcentral
GUCCAGGGAUAGGUAGCCUAGUGGACAUGGCAUCUGUCCGGUAAGCGGAACACUGUGGGUUCGAUUCCCAUCCCUGGACA